GAUGAAGAACGUAGCGAAAUGCGAUAAGUAAUGUGAAUUGCAGAAUUCAGUGAGUCAUCGAAUCUUUGAACGCACAUUGCGCCCUGUGGUAUUCCGCAGGGCAUGCCUGUUCGAGCGUCAUUUCAACCCUCAAGCCCCGCUUGGUGUUGGGCCCCGCCCGCCGUGGCCGGCCCUAAAGACAGUGGCGGCGCCGCCUGGCCCUCAGCGUAGUACAGCUCUCGCUCCAGGGUCCGGCGGCCGCCUGCCAGAACCCCCCCAACUCUGUGGUUGACCUCGGAUCAGGUAGGGAUACCCGCUGAACUUAAGCAUAUCAAUAAGCGGAGGA
This 325-nucleotide unclassified non-coding RNA is filed under the name soil metagenome. RNAcentral's name for it is "partial contains 5.8S ribosomal RNA, internal transcribed spacer 2, and large subunit ribosomal RNA". The stretch from base 1 to 120 matches the Rfam family "5.8S ribosomal RNA", at positions 35 to 154 of the family's 154-position model. The record is from RNAcentral.